Small nucleolar RNA from Microcebus murinus (gray mouse lemur), 131 nucleotides. Ensembl annotates it as small nucleolar RNA, H/ACA box 44. Its record names the gene SNORA44. NCBI's taxonomy places the organism in Eukaryota, Metazoa, Chordata, Mammalia, Primates, Cheirogaleidae. The record is from Ensembl.
CAGCAUGUUCCCAAGGCCUGUGGCUGGUUGUGGCCACGGGGUCUCCAACUGCAUGCGAGAACAACCUGGAGAGACUUUGACAGCUCGGGUCAGCACAAUACCUGCAGCUGCCACUCGCCUUUCCUAUAAUC